GAAAAAAAAACUAUAAAAGGCAAACAACCUGCCGUUUUCUCGUUUGCAAACGUCGGAAAUUCAGUUUGGCCGCCAUUUUGUUUUUCUCUACUAGCAAGAUAUGAGCUAAUAUCCUGCUAGUAGAGAACCAAUCAGAUUGCAGAAUACCUCAUAUCCAGACCUUGUGUAUAUAAUAAUUAAUGUUAUUUUGAUCAAACUUGACAAGGCACUUUCAUGUAGAAAACAAAUUAACCACAAACUAGUAAAGCCACAAACUAUUAUGAGAAAAAUCAUAACAGAAACCUCGAAAGAAACAAUAUAAACAGUUUCCAUAUUUAUUUAUUUCACAAAUUAAAUAAUAGUUUAUAAGUCGCUGUAAAAGUAUAAAUCACAGAUUGUCCUUGACAAAGGCAAUCUGUGACUUAUAUAUACUCAUGAAUGCAGUAAAUGAUAUGACCGAUGGUGACUUUCUAACGUUGUCCUUUUAGGACGAAGAUGACGUCACGGAUUCAGCUAUGAUUGGUCCUUCAUUGCAGGAAUUUCAAAAACAUGGUGGGUGAUGAAAAACCGUGUUAUGUUACACUAAAUUGCUCAGGAUUAACAUUUAGGUUAUGUUUCUCGCGCGCGAACAUAAUUUAGUGUUAGAAUUAAAGGAAUAGGGUUGUGAUUGGAGUCAUGAUCAUGAUAAGCGUAUUCAUCCGGGUGGUAUCCUGGGGCGAGGGUAUACUAAUUCCGCUCGGUUAUUUACACCCACCCGGCGAAAAAAGGAGAUCGCUUAGCGGAGUCAAAAGUCCUUAAUGUUCUCGGGCGCGUGGCUGUGAUCCAAGGUUUCAUGGGGUGGACCUCUCAGUAAAAAUAUGGCAAAUGUCAGGAGUAGGAUUAGGGGCGGACCAUUAGAAAAGUGAUGAGGGGGUGGGGAAAAAACAAAAAUAAAAUUCGAGCAGGGAAAAUAGAAAGAAAAAAAAAAUUCGUGCACCAGAAAUGUCUGAAAAAAAAAUUCGUGCAGAGACUUUUCAAUAGGGAAAAUGUCAGGGCCUAUCGGAGGUACAGUGUAAGGGUGUCCCCGAAAUUUCGAAAAUAAGCGUUUUAAUCGUGUUUUAAGAAGUUUUUUCGGUGAAAAGGUUUUUUAAACCUUAAUUGAAAUGAUGUUAGUCCGCCCCCCCCCCUCGCUCGCCAGCAAUUUUUUUGGGGAAAAAAUAAAAUUCGAGCAAGGGAUUAUUAAAAAAAAAAAAUAACCGACACAGCAAAACAUUUUUGAAAAUAAUCAUUGCGUUGAAAUGGACCCCCAUCGCACUGUGGUCACUUUGCUUAGUAGAAUUUGAUCAAUGUGUAGCCUGAAGGCGGAAAAUUGUUUACUGCAUGCAGACGUACAGCUAUAAACAGUUAUAAUAGUCUUUUAAAACAAUUAAAAUUGUUUUUACAAUUUUGUACAAAAAAUAGAAAUAAUCGCGUUACACGGCAAAAAACGCGGAGCCCGCUGCUUAACAGGAUUGAACAAUGUUGUGCUGCCCACAUUGUUCACACUUGUCAACAAUAUUGAACAAUGUUGUUGAGCCUGAAUCGGGUGUAACAACAUUGUUCAAUAUUGUUGACAACUGUGAACAAUGUGGGCAGCAAAACAUUGUUCAAUCCUGUUUUCAUCAAUCAAUAUUGCAACAACCUGAGCGUUUUUACGCGUGUACCUGGCCACAGCAAAUACUUCUACUGCCGAUACUUCAUGUUUGAAAAAUAUANNNNNNNNNNNNNNNNNNNNAUAUAUAUAUAUAUAUAUAUAUAUAUAUAUAUAUAUAUAUAUAUAUAUAUAUAUAUAUAUAUAUAUAUAUAUAUAUAUAUAUAUAUAGUCGCCAAGAUGUGUAUUGACUGCUUGAAGUUUAAAUAUAUAUAUAUAUAUAUAUAUUAUUCAAUCCGUUCACGUGUUUUGUAGUUGAGAGGUCGAAAAAACGUGGUAAAAAUCCCGAUCGCGUUGGUGCAAACUUUGAUAGGAAAACUGAACUUAACAGUGAAUGGUAAGUCUAACAAUGUGCCAUUGAUUUUAGAAUAAAUAUUGUAUAUGGGCCAAUUCAAUCCAGUUCGUCCAGAUUUUUUUAAUAGACCUUAUGCAUGAUGACGUCACAAGGCUUGAUGCCCGCGAGGAAUGCUGGCCUUAGUAGUCAUCGCCCGGGAAAAUUUCGAUGGUGGCCAUUUUUAAUUGUUUAAUUUUCCCGGGCGAUGACUGCUAAGACCAGCAUUCCUCGCGGGCAUCAAGCUUUGUGACGUCAUUAUACAUAAGGUCUAUUGUGUCUAAUUCGAUCGCGACCAGCCUCGUCCCCAGGCUCCAACUCAGACGCGCUGGUUCGUGGCGCGACGCAAGGCAAUGGACGGGUCACGAAACGGCGCAGCAAAUGUAUGUAUGUAUGUAAAUCAAAGCGCCUGGGGACGAGGCUGGAUUGCGACUGACCAUGCACGGGAUUGACGAAUUUAGAACACUCCUGUUUGGUCCUGUAAUAAAAUAUUUGAACUAAGAGUAAUCUUUUUUUUAUUUCUUGUGGUUUACAUGGCGUAGCUACGUCGUUUAUUUAUUUAUUUAUUUAUUUA
Molecule: long non-coding RNA, 2553 nt
Filed under: Paramuricea clavata
Lineage: Eukaryota; Metazoa; Cnidaria; Anthozoa; Malacalcyonacea; Plexauridae
Source: RNAcentral